This 93-nucleotide ribosomal RNA is filed under the name Enterococcus faecium. Its description in RNAcentral is "partial 16S ribosomal RNA". It matches the Rfam family "Bacterial small subunit ribosomal RNA", at positions 1441 to 1533 of the family's 1533-position model. Lineage: Bacteria; Bacillati; Bacillota; Bacilli; Lactobacillales; Enterococcaceae. The record is from RNAcentral. RNAcentral also lists the same sequence under 1 other name.
UUUUGGAGCCAGCCGCCUAAGGUGGGAUAGAUGAUUGGGGUGAAGUCGUAACAAGGUAGCCGUAUCGGAAGGUGCGGCUGGAUCACCUCCUUU